RNAcentral lists this ribosomal RNA (281 nucleotides) under Pseudo-nitzschia fraudulenta. Its description in RNAcentral is "partial 28S ribosomal RNA". It matches the Rfam family "Eukaryotic large subunit ribosomal RNA", at positions 186 to 475 of the family's 3401-position model. The record is from RNAcentral. Lineage: Eukaryota; Bacillariophyta; Bacillariophyceae; Bacillariales; Bacillariaceae.
UUCCUUGGAAAAGGACAGCUGAGAGGGUGAAACUCCCGUCCGCCUGGUAGAAUGAGUCUUUGUCAACGAGUCGAGUUGUUUGGGAUUGCAGCUCUAAUUUGGUGGUAAAUUCCAUCUAAAGCUAAAUAUUGGUGGGAGACCGAUAGCGUACAAGUACCGUGAGGGAAAGAUGCAAAGAACUUUGAAAAGAGAGUUAAAGAGUACCUGAAAUUGCUGAAGCGGAAGCGAAGGAAACCAGUGUUUGUUGGUUCAUAUUUCCUUGGCCACUUGUGGUUUGGGCG